CUGCCCUACGGGAGGCAGCAGUGAGGAAUAUUGGUCAAUGGGCGAGAGCCUGAACCAGCCAAGUCGCGUGAGGGAAGACGGUCCUAUGGAUUGUAAACCUCUUUUGUCGGGGAGCAAAAAGACUACGUGUAGUCCCAAGCGAGAGUACCCGAAGAAAAAGCAUCGGCUAACUCCGUGCCAGCAGCCGCGGUAAUACGUAGGGUGCGAGCGUUAAUCGGAAUUACUGGGCGUAAAGGGUGCGCAGGCGGUUGAGUAAGACAGAUGUGAAAUCCCCGAGCUUAACUCGGGAAUGG
RNAcentral lists this ribosomal RNA (293 nucleotides) under uncultured bacterium. Its description in RNAcentral is "partial 16S ribosomal RNA". It matches the Rfam family "Bacterial small subunit ribosomal RNA", at positions 335 to 623 of the family's 1533-position model. The record is from RNAcentral.